RNAcentral lists this ribosomal RNA (498 nucleotides) under uncultured bacterium. RNAcentral describes it as "partial 16S ribosomal RNA". It matches the Rfam family "Bacterial small subunit ribosomal RNA", at positions 28 to 507 of the family's 1533-position model. The record is from RNAcentral.
GACGAACGCUGGCGGCGUGCCUAAUACAUGCAAGUCGAGCGGACGAAUCGAAAGCUUGCUUUUGAUUCGUUAGCGGCGGACGGGUGAGUAACACGUGGGCAACCUGCCCUGUAGACGGGGAUAACACCGAGAAAUCGGUGCUAAUACCGGAUGACACGAAAUGUCGCAUGACGUUUCGUUGAAAGACGGCGCAAGCUGUCGCUACAGGAUGGGCCCGCGGCGCAUUAGCUAGUUGGUGAGGUAACGGCUCACCAAGGCGACGAUGCGUAGCCGACCUGAGAGGGUGAUCGGCCACACUGGGACUGAGACACGGCCCAGACUCCUACGGGAGGCAGCAGUAGGGAAUCUUCCGCAAUGGACGAAAGUCUGACGGAGCAACGCCGCGUGAGCGAAGAAGGCCUUCGGGUCGUAAAGCUCUGUUGUUAGGGAAGAACAAGUAACGCAGUAACUGGCGUUACCGUGACGGUACCUAACGAGAAAGCCACGGCUAACUACGUG